UUUGAGGCAUGAUCAAGAGAAGUUUUACUUGAAGAACCUGGUUCAUCAGUAUAUGCUCAUGAGAAAGUUCAGGUAUGUUUCUAUACAUUGAAAAAUUAGAAAGAUUAAUUUUCCAAUCAUGAGAAGAAGUUCUAUUUGCACCAAACUCCCUGAAAUUCUAUCCGUUGAGCAUUGAACCAGCUUCUUUCUCGUAGAACUCUGAAGAAAAUGAGAUUUUUACCUAAAAACUAGAGUCGCCUAUUAAUCACUAAGCGAUUGGAAUUCAAAAGUGAUUAGACUCCUGAUUGACUACUACAAAAAAGUUGUCGUUACUGCAUUUAAUCAUAACCUUAUUUAAAUACACACCACAUCCUCCUUUUUAGUUCAUAACCGUCAUUAAUCUUUCCAAAAUUCCGAUCAUCCUCUUUCUCUCAAAAAUUCCCAAAAUUCUCUAGAAAUACUUUACCGUAGCAAACCAUCAAAAUAAUCCAGGCACUCCCCCACCAGUAUUUUCUAAUACGUCCUCAUCUACACCCCCUAGUGAAAUCCUAAAACCUAGAUUUCGCGGCAGAAAAUGUUUGACAGAAAAAUUGUAGCUUCUAGUUCUUUAUGAAAAGCUCUAAAUGAGAAAUUGAGGGUUGGUCAGAAGAAAGAGAGUUCUGCUAAAGAAUCUGACUCAAGUUCUGAGUCUGAAGCAUAUAUCUCUACCAACAAAAGAGAAAAACAUGGGUCUUCUGACAUUGACAAAAAUCAAGAAACCUUUGAUGAGGUAAAAACUUGUCUUGUAUUCUGUGAUGUGGUAGAAAAGGUAGAUAAUAGGUUUGCGUUAGUUGGUUCUAUGAAAGAUGUAAAGGGGGUUGAAUCUAUUAGAAAGGGAAACAAAAAGAAAGAAAAAGUUCUUGCAAUCUGUAGAGGUGUAGAUGAAAGUGGUUACAAGUUAGGGAGAAGUGGCUCCGGGGAGGCUGCUGAAGGUCUUUUUCAUUUGAGUGAGCAAGAAGAUAAACCUGGUUCAUCUGUUGAAGAAACCCUAGCUGACAUCCUGAAGAAGGUUGGGGCCAGCUAUGAUCCAAAGAAUCGUAAGGCUUCUUCCCAAAAGGCUCCAACUGCUUCCAAGCCAACGAAGAAAAGCAAGGUGCCAUCUCCUAAGUCUACUAUCACUUCAUUACCAAAAGAAAGAGCUAUUAGAAGCAGGGUCAAACAAAGUGAUACACAGUUGCAGAAAGCUUUAGAAGAAAGAAGGAAAAGGAAGAAGGAGAAGAGAAAAGCAAAGGUUAUGGAUAGCUCUAAGGCUGCAGAAGAGGAGGAAGAGGUGAUGGAACUUAUCCAUCAAGAAAGAGGUACAACUGUGGAGUUUCCCACUCCCAAACCAAAACGAUCUAAGACUUCUUCAAAGAAGUCUUCAGAACCUGUAUCUACUGAACCCUCCUUAGCCAAAAGAACCAGAUCUGCAGUAAAGGGUAAACAAGUAAAAAUUACUAACGAAGAAGAAGAAGAAGAAUGGAGUGGGGAGGAAGAAGAGGAGGAGUCUGAGAAAGAACAGGAUAGAUUUGCCAUCUUUGGCAGGAAAAAGAUUUUGAAAGGCAUGUUGUUGAAAGACCUGUAGAAGCCAGGUAUGACAAGAUUGAUGGAUGCCAUGGGUGGACAAGGGUGGAAGGACAUGGUCCUUCAAAUGGAUGGGAGGCUGGCUAGGAAGGAGCUGAUUGAGUUCAUGGCCAAUGCCACUGUAAAAAAUGGGGUAGUCACCAUCUUGGUGAGGGGAGCAAAGGUGUAGUUUGAUGCACCUAAAUUGGGCAAGAUUCUGGACAAACCCAGUGAGGGUUAUGAUGACUAUACCAAGCAGAGGUAGCCUUGUCUAGAUUCUCUACCUAUUGCUCUCCAAAUCACCAAAAAUUUUUGUGAUACAAAAUUUGCUGAAGAAGUGCCUGAGGCAAGGUUUGUGCAAAAGAGUGAGAUGAAGCCUGAGCACAAUGUGCUAUUUGAGUUGUGAUCAAAUGCUUGUUGCCCAGACAAGAGAGAAGGCAUAUUGUCAACUACGUGGAUUUGAUUCUUAUGGAAUGUCUUGUGAGAGGAAUGCAGAUUAACUAGCAUGCUUUCAUUGUCAAGCUGCUGGAUAGGGUCAUCAAUGGCUCUAAGGCUCACGCUACCCCAUAUGGGAUUAUACUGAUGACUGUUCUGGAUAGGCUGCAUGUUCCUCUGAAAAAAUAGGAGAUGGCUUCCAGCAAGGAACAUCUUGGUAUCAGAACUCUGUAGUCUUGUGACUAUCUCCUCAGUAUAGCCCCAGUUGAACCUGGUUCAUCUCUAAAAACUCCUGUGAAUAUCAAGGUUAGGGCCAUGGUUCAAGAAUGUGGACCAAAAGAUGCUGAAAUUGCUAGGCUCCAAGCUCGUGUUGCUGAAUUGGAGAAUGAGAGAAAUGACCUUAAAGAUGAGAUAGCAAAGGAAAAGAGUGCAGGGAUACUUCAGACUAUGCUCAAUCUUUUCCAAUCCCAACCCUCUAGUUCCUCCAAGCCUUAGUUCUUCCAGCUCCUGUCUUUGAACCAGUCUUGAACCCUCCCAGUGACCCAGAUUCGGGACUUUUUCCUUGUUUUUUUUUUGCUCAUGGUUGGAUAUUUUUCUUUCUUUUUGUGGUCUGGUUUGUAGAAACAUUUCCUAAUCAAUGAAUUUUUUUUUCUCUUGUUAUAUGAAGAUUCUGCUCUUAGUAGUUAAUUUUUGUCAAGUUGAUUAUUGAUAUUUAUAGCCUGAUUAAACCUAGCACUUAAUGAUAAGUUAAGUUUUCUAAGUUAAAGUGUUGAUAAUUAAGUUGAGUUCCACAGGUUCUCUGAUCAGUAAAAGCACAAAGUUUGUCAUCAUCAAAAGGGAAAUUUGUUGGUCCAAGUUCAGAUGAAGUUUUGAAGAUUGACAAAUAAACUCAGUCAUGGACCAGGUCCAUCAUGUGAGACAUGGUAGUUAUCAACUUAUACAUGUGAGAUGCACGUGAAGAAGAUAAGUUUCAAGGAUCAAACAAUAAUAUCUUCUGAAUUGAUCGAAAAAGUUGCAUAAAGGAUGAGGAGAUGAAAUCUCCUUAUGAGAAGAGAACUUAAUCCGGAUCAAGGAUAAGGGUUAAGUUUGUAUUGUUCUAGGACUCAAAUUCGAUAAAGGCACUACAACAAAUGUGAUAUUUAGCUACAAAACUUUUA
RNAcentral lists this long non-coding RNA (3152 nucleotides) under Nicotiana benthamiana. Its description in RNAcentral is "long non-coding RNA (NBEN_LNC018482)". Lineage: Eukaryota; Viridiplantae; Streptophyta; Magnoliopsida; Solanales; Solanaceae. The record is from RNAcentral.